Molecule: ribosomal RNA, 582 nt
Filed under: Alternaria infectoria
Lineage: Eukaryota; Fungi; Ascomycota; Dothideomycetes; Pleosporales; Pleosporaceae
Description: eukaryotic LSU rRNA
Rfam family: 5.8S ribosomal RNA (bases 227-380)
Source: RNAcentral
UCUCCGUAGGUGAACCUGCGGAGGGAUCAUUACACAAUAACAAGGCGGGCUGGACACCCCCCGCUGGGCACUGCUUCACGGCGUGCGCGGCGGGGCCGGCCCUGCUGAAUUAUUCACCCGUGUCUUUUGCGUACUUCUUGUUUCCUGGGUGGGCUCGCCCGCCCUCAGGACCAACCACAAACCUUUUGCAAUAGCAAUCAGCGUCAGUAACAACGUAAUUAAUUACAACUUUCAACAACGGAUCUCUUGGUUCUGGCAUCGAUGAAGAACGCAGCGAAAUGCGAUACGUAGUGUGAAUUGCAGAAUUCAGUGAAUCAUCGAAUCUUUGAACGCACAUUGCGCCCUUUGGUAUUCCAAAGGGCAUGCCUGUUCGAGCGUCAUUUGUACCCUCAAGCUUUGCUUGGUGUUGGGCGUCUUUUGUCUCCAGUUCGCUGGAGACUCGCCUUAAAGUCAUUGGCAGCCGGCCUACUGGUUUCGGAGCGCAGCACAAGUCGCGCUCUUUGCCAGCCAAGGUCAGCGUCCAGCAAGCCUUUUUUUUCAACCUUUGACCUCGGAUCAGGUAGGGAUACCCGCUGAACUUAA